This 253-nucleotide ribosomal RNA is filed under the name uncultured bacterium. RNAcentral's name for it is "partial 16S ribosomal RNA". It matches the Rfam family "Bacterial small subunit ribosomal RNA", at positions 524 to 776 of the family's 1533-position model. The record is from RNAcentral.
UACAGGGGGUGCAAACGUUGCUCGGAAUUACUGGGCGUAAAGCGCGCGUAGGUGGUUUGUUAAGUUGGAUGUGAAAGCCCCGGGCUCAACCUGGGAACUGCAUCCAAAACUGGCAAGCUAGAGUACGGUAGAGGGUGGUGGAAUUUCCUGUGUAGCGGUGAAAUGCGUAGAUAUAGGAAGGAACACCAGUGGCGAAGGCGACCACCUGGACUGAUACUGACACUGAGGUGCGAAAGCGUGGGGAGCAAACAGG